This 1089-nucleotide ribosomal RNA is filed under the name marine metagenome. Its description in RNAcentral is "bacterial LSU rRNA". It matches the Rfam family "Bacterial large subunit ribosomal RNA", at positions 1815 to 2925 of the family's 2925-position model. The record is from RNAcentral.
ACAGGGCUCUGCGAAGUCGUAAGACGACGUAUAGGGUCUGACGCCUGCCCGGUGCCUGAAGGUUAAAAGGAGGAGUGCAAGCUCCGAAUUGAAGCCCAGGUAAACGGCGGCCGUAACUAUAACGGUCCUAAGGUAGCGAAAUUCCUUGUCGGGUAAGUUCCGACCUGCACGAAUGGCGUAACGACUUCCCCGCUGUCUCAAAUGUGGACUCAGCGAAAUUGAAUUACCGGUCAAGAUGCCGGUUACCCGCGGUUAGACGGAAAGACCCCAUGCACCUUUACUAUAGCUUCGCAUUGGCAUCAGACACAGUAUGUGCAGGAUAGGUGGUAGGCUUUGAAGCGGGGACGCCAGUCCUCGUGGAGCCUCCCUUGAGAUACCACCCUUAUUCUGUUUGAUGUCUAACCGCGGUCCAUUAUCUGGAUCCGGGACCCUGCGUGGUGGGUAGUUUGACUGGGGCGGUCGCCUCCCAAAUUGUAACGGAGGCGCGCGAAGGUUGGCUCAGAGCGGUCGGAAAUCGCUCGUUGAGUGCAAUGGCAGAAGCCAGCCUGACUGCAAGACUGACAAGUCGAGCAGAGUCGAAAGACGGCCAUAGUGAUCCGGUGGUCCCGAGUGGAAGGGCCAUCGCUCAACGGAUAAAAGGUACGCUGGGGAUAACAGGCUGAUGGUGCCCAAGAGUCCAUAUCGACGGCACCGUUUGGCACCUCGAUGUCGGCUCAUCUCAUCCUGGGGCUGGAGCAGGUCCCAAGGGUACGGCUGUUCGCCGUUUAAAGAGGUACGUGAGCUGGGUUUAGAACGUCGUGAGACAGUUCGGUCCCUAUCUUCCGUGGGUGUAGGAUACUUGAGAAGAGUUGCCCCUAGUACGAGAGGACCGGGGUGAACGAUCCACUGGUGGAUCUGUUGUUGCGCCAGCAGCAGUGCAGAGUAGCUAUGAUCGGACAGGAUAACCGCUGAAGGCAUCUAAGCGGGAAGCCCCCUUCAAAACAAGGUAUCCCUGAGAGCCGAGGUAGACCACCUCGUCGAUAGGCCAGAGAUGUAAGCGCCGUAAGGUGUUCAGUUGACUGGUACUAAUGGCUCGAUAGGCUUGAUUUG